Meleagris gallopavo (turkey) is the source of this 10084-nucleotide non-coding RNA. NCBI's taxonomy places the organism in Eukaryota, Metazoa, Chordata, Aves, Galliformes, Phasianidae. The record is from RefSeq and is a predicted model, not a curated record.
CUCUGCUCAUGGAUUGGAUUGAUCUGAAAGAGAUACUCAAGUUUUUCAAGCUCCGUAUGUUCUACUUACUCUCUUGAAUCCAAAUUAGAAACAUCUUGUUGUUUUCAUGUAGUUAACAAAAUAACUCAAUGUCAUUUGAAGUGUUCAGUUGCAUGUCUCCACUGAGUAAGGACAAAGACAAACAAUUCCUGCUUUUAGGUAGAGAAAUAUGAUACAACAGCAUUGUGGAAUAAUGAAAUAUAGUCUAAUUCAGAGAGAGGAAUGGAAAUGUUACUAAAGAUCCAGAGAUCUCUGGGGAGUUCACUGAGCUUUUAAGUUUGUGUUUUCAGUAUUCCAUUUUUGUGUUGGUUGCACAUUAAACCCUGUUGGCAGUAUUAACAGUAUUCAGCUGUGCUUACUGCAUUUGAGGUAGCAUUUCUGCUUGUACUGCCUUUGAUUAUACCAAAGAGGCAUGACCAAGAGUUCAACUGCAGUGCAAAGGCAAAAUGACCAUCUCAAAUCCUGUAUGGGCAGUGUAACUUUGCACUGCAGUCAGUCAGGUCUGCUGUGGGAAACAGUAACAAGCAUAUGAGAGGUGAAGUGUCUAAAUUUGUGUCAGACACUAUGAACUGAAGUUGUAUUCACAUUGCAAAGCCGUUGUUUAAGCAUCUGCAAUGCCUUCAGCUCCAGGGCAAAAGAUGCAGUAAACUCUGGAGCAGAGAAUCUUCUGCAAAAAAUAAUUUGUUAGCUUAUUUUUUUGUAAGUUGUGUAUGGAUGUUAGCAGUGAGCAGUUAAACUGAAUGUCUUAACUGCCAUUUUUAAAAUCACACACUCAAAAAAGAAAAAAAAAAAAUACCAAACAAACCAAAAACACCCAAUAAAACAAACUCCCUAACAGACUGAACUCCCUGUGAUUUUAACUGAAAAGUUGCAUGUUACGGCUCAUAGGAGUUGUAUAUCUCUACUGAACAAAUGACCAUCCAGCCACUUUCAUGUUCUCUCAACUUAUUCGUUGUAGUUCUGCUUACCAGCUAACUUCCUGUAAUGUAGCAUGUGUGGUUGUUGUCAGCCUAUUAUUUGAUUGCCCUGUCCUAUCUGGAAACUUACAGCAAGAGGUUCACUUUGUAGACAAAGAUAUUCUCUGACAUACAGGUAGGGAUUAUGCAAAAUAAAAAUUUGUAAUACAAUAAAAUAAAUAAAUUCAAAAUUCACAGAAAUAUUGGUUCAAAUAUAGAUUUCUUUGUAUCUAAUACAGUUAUUCUUGUCAGUAAAGGAAGAAUGUGCACAGGAUACCCUUAAAGAAAUUUGACCAAUGGUUUCCACAUUUCUAGCUUAUAGAACCCAAACCUUUCUUAUUCGCUUUUUGUAUUCAUUUGAGGAGAAACUUCAGAUUUCUUACCAAAAAUAUUUCUGAAAGCAAACUAUGGAAAAAUAACUCUCACUUAGGAAGGAAAGUCCUUCAAAAGCUUAUCUCAUGUGUUUAAUUGAGUCUCUUAAAUGAAGCUUUGGAAGUGCCUUCAGAACCUACAUAGCCCAAGAAUGAAUUUGUUGUAUUGUUUGCCUCUUGAGUGGUCCUUAGGAAACAAAUGCAGAUACACAAUGCCAUUGCUUCUUUGCUUCAUGCCGAAUAAAUUCUAAAUGCAAAGCUCAACUGAUUUAAGUUGACUUUUAACUAGUAUUUGUUUUUGUCUUCACUAGUCCUGGGAAGUGAUAAAAGAAUAAUUCUAGCAGUUUUCUUGCUAGUUGAUCUUGUUUUGUUAUUCUUGUGCAGUACAGAGUUCUGGUACUGAGGUUGCUGAUGGGGCAGGAGAAUAUUUAAAUCCAAAUAAGUGCUCCAUAGAAUGAGACCAAAACUAUUAAAUGUUUCUAUACCAUGUAGAUAUAACAUUGGAGUACAAGUAAAUAAUGCAUGUGCAUAUUAGCAAGAAUUUUCCUUUAGAUCUUAAACUGUGAACUCCUCAGAGUUCUAAUUCAGAGCUCCAGUUUCUGCCCAGGCUUAAACAAUUAUGUCAGAAACUACUUUCACAGAUAAGAUUUGGUAUUAUUUUAUUAGUAUUUUUGGAAGAAAGGUGGAAAAGAUGAUGAAUAUUAUUUAGUAAUUCAAAAAUCAGGAUGAGAACUGGGCACCCGAAGUUUAGGUUUUUUCUAAAACAAAUGUCAUGACCUAAAGGAGCUUGACCCUUCAUAUCUGACUUUUGGAUUGGGUAUUAGUGGCAUAAUCACCAUUAAUAACAGUUAUAAGGAAUAAAAGAAGAACUUGGAAAUGUAGAAAUAUAUGUAAAUACAUAGAUACUAUAGUAAAAUAUUCAUUAACUAGAUAGUGUCCUUAUUUACAUUCCUGUAAUCCACAGGAACGUAUACUAUGAAUUCUUUGUAUUUCAUAUUUUAGAAGCAGUGAGAUUGUAAACAAAUACUUCUAUCCAGAAUAAUUUUCCAUCUCAGAGUUAUUUCAUGGCGAGGCUAUUCUUUGAGUUCUGGCUUCAAAAAAUUUAUUAUGUUUGAAUGCAUUCUCUCCUUUGUACCUUGUAGACAAAAUGUUUAAAAAUAUUUCCCAGUACUUUCAAGGUCCAGAGAUUUGCUUUGGGUAAUUGCAUACUGUACAAAGAAGCAAAUAGUUAUGUCAGCAAAACUUACAAAGCUGCAUUUUCCAGUAACUUUUUAUGCCCUGACUGAAGUAUAGGCUUACUUCAUCUACAUACACUUUGUUUCCAAAAAUCCUCUUCCUGCUCUUAUGUGACUAUCAGCAAGGUAGAAGAUUGUGUGACUGUGUAUUGAGUUGAGUGGAUAAUGAGAACGGAACAAAAUUCACUUUUGAGGAGACCAGGAAUGAAAAAUAAGAAAAUAAUUCUAAAGGAUGUAAUGUCAUAGAAGCCAGUUCUAAGAAUUUAAUGUCUGUGAUUUCUUACCUCUUAGUUGUUUUUUUUUUCCUGAAACUGGCAUAUUACUUCAAAGGUAACUAGGUGAGUCAGAACCAUAGGUUAAUGUAGGUCAGAUAGAAUUUCUGAAGGUCUCCAGUCCAGCCUCUUGAUCUAAGUAGGACUAAUUUACAAGUUAGAUAAUGUUGCUUCAGCCCUUGUCCAGUCAGUUUCUGAGUAUUUUCACGGAUGUACAUUGCACAGCAUCUCUUUACAAGCUGUUCCAACACUUGACCAUGUGGUCACUGAUGGUGAUUUGUUUUUCCUGUGUACAGGAAUCUUAUUUCCUUAGGAAACCUCACUAAAAGUAAACUGACUCCAAAGGGCGUUUAAAGCUCUUAAAGUUUAAAGUGGCUGUGUGGCCUUUUUACUUUAAAGUUGUAAAGAAAUGCUUUGAUAUCUGGCCUUUCAGCUGCAUGCAGCUGCUUUUCAUCUGCUUUGUUGGUCAUGUAGAGACUGAGAAAAACAGAGCUGUUGUAGAUAACCUUCUUAGUAUACCUGUCUUUUCCUGUCUUACUUAGAAAAGUGAUAAAAGAAAGGCAGUGCAAUUAACAGUAAGAGGAAGGCUUGCUGUGAUGCUUUUGAACAGGAGACUUUUUUUGACUCCACGGUCUGAUAGUGUCAAAUUAAAGCACUUAAGAGACUACCUAAAUACCUUAACUUGAUGAGCAUUCUGAUCAUAACACUUUUUUUUUUUUCCCCAGCACUGAAUUUUAACAAAGGUGGAACAAAUCUCCUACAGAAUAAAAGUUCAAUAUUUAAAGCACGACACAAAAAUUUAUUUAUGAGCUUAGGGGAAGCCUCAUUGUUCUGAGACUGCACUUAAAAAUCCACUGAGCAAGUCACAACUCCUCUGGAUGUUGCUAGUGAAUGAAAGCUAUAGGAUUUCUACUAAAUAACAAUUUUGACCUGAGCUGUAAAUAGACUUAUACUUUGUCUUCUGUUUCUCCUAAUCUGCAGCAAUGUGCUGUAAGUUGUGGGAAUUUUGAAGUGCUACUUUUUAAUUACCCAAGAUUGGCCCUGGGGCUGGUUCUUAACUUGUCAUAUAAAACUCAGAUUUUAUAGAAAGCUUAAAAUAAUUUAAAGUGUAUAAAUUGUGUAUUUAUCCUCCGAAAGAUUACGCAAGGGAAUUAUUGGCUGGUAAAGUGUAAAGUAAUAAAUCAAAAUAAUAAAUCGGAAAAGAGACAAACUGGUGAUGGGAACCUGCAUAGUGUUGGUUAGGACAAGAAGUAGUUUCCUCCAAAUCCUUUUUCAAGUAAUCAUAUUCUUAAUGAAGGAUGCUAGUGUAUGCAUUUGUUGUUGGAGAUCUCAGUAAUUUGAUAUUUGAAUCAUUGAUUCAAUCCAGGAAUUUAAAGUCCAUCGGGCAGCUAUGUAAAAAAUAUUUGUUAGAAAAAAGGAAUUGGGCAUGUUUUAAUUUUUUUUUUCAUAAUAGAUUCAAUCUUGAAGAUAUAUUCUCUUAUGGGAAGUUGUAUACAUUUUAAGAUGGAUACUAGCAUGUAUGUCAAUCAUACCUCUCAACUUUUUGGGAAAAAUUAAAUUACAGCUGCAGUAAAGUCAGUAAAAUCUGCUGAUACUUAGGUUGUUCUUUCUCUAUCCUCAUAGGUAACGUUGUAUUUCUAUAUUUUAACAUUCUAUUUCUGUAAUAGAUUUGAGGGUUUGAGUUCCUCAUGUUGGUAAAUAAAAAAUUUAGAAUAUUUUAAUAAACUGCUACAAAGACACUGAGUAGCAGUUCAUACGGUAUCAUAUAAUGUAGAAUAUUUGUUACUGGCUAACAUGCAUGUACCUAAUGUAUGUAGUAGAGAGGAAAAAAAGUUACUGUAUAAGGUUAUGACCUGGGCAAAAGUUUUAAUGGAUAAUGACAUAUUGUCUCUGUGCCACUUAUCUAGGCAGUGCAGGGAGGAAAGCUGUGAAGUGUUAUUAAUACAUUGUUUGAACAUUUAGAAACAGGUUUUAUAGUAACCGUAUCUCUCCAGAAAGUAUAAGGUCUCCCAGUCUGUAUUGUAGGAACAAUACUUCCAUGUAUUUGAAAUACAUUCAAAGAAAAGUGAAUCUAGAUACCUGUUGUGUGUUUUUCUUUGUUUUUGUUUUUUUGGUUUUGUUUUGUUUUUUUUUUCCUGCUUUAUGACAUUGCUUUUGUCAGUCUUGCUGGAGGACAAAAAGAAAGAAUGAGGUUAUGAGAAAAGCUAUUAUUUAUUAAGUAGAGGAAAAAACAUUGCUUUCUCAAAUCUAACAUUUUUUUUCUAGCAGCAACUUAAUAGAAUAAUGAUUUCUGAAGCAUUAAUUAAAUUCCAACUUAUUGCCGUGCAAAUUCUGGUACAAUUUUAGUGGUACAACAAAGUAACUCAUCAUUAUAGUUCACUAAGUAACUUCCAAACUGAAAUGACUUAUUUUAGAAGAUGUGAUAAAUAGUCUUCAAAUUUUUCUGAAGGAUGUUAACAAAAAUGCAGCAUCUGGUAAGUUAGCUUUUGAAGAAAAAUACGGGUUUGGGCACAAACUGUCACAAAAUAGCCAAACUCCAUGCUGACCUGUAUCUUCUAGGGUUUCCUUACCUUUGGAUAUCUGACUUAAAUGACAUGUCUCAUUGUUAGAAAGGGAUCACUCCUUACUAAUUUGUUUGCAAAAGCCUUGGACUUCAGCAUACAGAGAAGGAAAAAUCUGUCAGAAUGAAGAUAUCCAACACGUGAAGUGAAUCAAGAAAUGUAGAGAGACCUGGAAAAAAGAAAAAGCUUUCUGAGGGGGGGGAAAAAGAACAAAACCAAUAACAGAGAUCAGGGAAUCAUAGAGAGAAAGAUCUGGUCUAACAAUGACUGUCUCCACAGAUAUCUGUUUUUCUAAGAUACCAGGCCUUAAUCAACUAUAAAUAAGUCAUUUCCAAAAUUACCACUAACUUGGGAAGAAUUUGUAUGCCUCUAUUCAGUCUCAGCAUUUUGAGAGUCACAGUAUCUAAAAAUGUUGUUUGUGUGAGGUGCUGGCUGUCGUUUCCCAGUCCUUACUUAGUGUGAAGGGCCAGUGCCUAUUGGGAUUCCAGGUGUACUCUGUUUUGAUUUCUUGAGUGGAACGCAUAUGAGGCCCAAGAAACUUCAAAUCUCUUAAGAUGGUUUUUGUUUCAAAUAUUCAGAGUGGAAUUCUAGAUUAAAUGCUGUUGUCUUUAAGUGCGUUGUCCUUAGAUCUUCUCUUCACUAAUGCACCUGUAGGCCACAUCUAAACUAACUGCACCUGACUUGAGCCAGAUGGAUAACAUCUUCUGUGACUUCACUAUUGAUAUCACAAAUCAGUUAGGCUUUCUCUCAGUUGUAGUAAUAAUCUUCACCUGCGUUAUGGAAAUAUUGACUACUGACUAAGAUUGAUUAAUACCUAUAAAUUGACCCAAAUAUGCUGGUGGUUGAAGUGCAAGAACAUUUAAAUUCCUUCUACAGAUAAUUUCAAACAGUAUAAUAGUUAAAAAGUGAUUUACAGUGUGAUUUACAGUGUCUGUGUGAUUCCAGCACUAUCUUAUUGGGAAAAGUGUUGGGAUAGACAUUUUUAAAACUGGCUUUUCUUUUGUAAUGAUCAGAAUGUGAUGACUGCACAGAAGUAGCAAUCUUUUGUGACUAACCUUUAUGCAGCUGGAAAUUCUGGCCUGACACUUAUGAUUUUUGCAGCACUAAUGGGAAUUUUUCCUUAAAUAGCAUUUUCAGGUUCUUAGCACAGAAGCAAUGUCUUGUAAAGCUGUAAGAAAAUGAAGAUAAAAGUUGAAACUGUUUCAGAAGAGUUUCAAAGCUAUAAGGCUGAAAUGGAUGCCAACACAGAUGUAAAAGCCAUUGGCAGGCAGGAUGGAAAGAGCACGUAGGCUUAGAGAGAGAGAGAAAAAAAAAAAAAAGGCUCAUUCUGAUGUUGAUACUGAUUGACACUCUAUCUUCCAGCUUGCAAAGAUGGAAGAAAACCAAGAGCACCUGACAAGACAACAAAGAUAGUAAAACGGAGAAGAUCCUGCCUACAUGCAAAUCAUCCAUCUAGCUUUUUUUUCUGCACCUAAGGCCUACAGAAGAGUUUUGGAUAGCAAUAUGGAAGCACUUCUGCACUGCUAAAAGCAUCUAAGCUGCCAGUCACUUACAAAGACAACUUUCAAAAGGGGAAAAGAGUUAACAGAAAAAGGGAGAAUGGAAACUUCAAAGUGUGUAUUAAAAUGUUUAAUUAUAAGCAAAGAGAGAAAAGGGAAGAAGAAUUGAGAAAGAAAAAUGGGAACAGGAAGAAUGUUAGUCACCUGUUUCAGAAUAUGGAUUAAGGAGCACAAGGAAUAAACAUUAAAAAACUGAUCAAUUCCUACUGGAGAAAAAGAUGUUGUAUGCGGAUAUGAAAACUCUGUUACUGAAGACCAAAGUCAGUACCAAGGAGAACAAGAUUGAGGUGUAUAUGUUACUGUGAUUUUGCUGUUGACUAUUACCUAAAAUUAAGGAAAAUUAGAGAUGCAGGAGUUGUUCAGGUUUUAAUUAUGCGCUCCAGUAAGGUUGUACUUACAAUAUUAUACUUGUAUUUCAUUUACAGAAUCUUAAUCCAAUGGAUAAGAUAGUUUUACCCGAAGGAAUCAGCAAAGAAAACCAUCAACUCCAAGGGAAAAAAAACCAAAUCAAUAGAUUUAUAUGGUCAUAACUUUAUGACACCUUCGGAUGCUAUUUUAGAUUUUUUUUUUGUGAGAUAGAAUGUUGCAGCAAGAGCACUAGAAGGACCGUUCCCAAGAGUAAAAAAUGAAUGUCUCUUCUCCAAUUACGAUCUUUCAAAAAAGGAUUUUAAAAUAACUUCAAACAUUGCAAAGAAUUUUUUCUGUACUUAACCUACAAUCUGUGGGCAUUUCAGGAUGAAAAGAUUUCUUUUCCACAAAGCGAAACAGGUUAAAGUCACGCCUGUCAUCUCAUUCUAGUACUGCUCUUUUUUCAGCUCAGCUUCUGCCAGUUUAUUUUAUCAAAAUAUUCCCAGGCUUACUUUGAAGAUAUUUUUUUUUUUUCCUGAGAGUGUUACCCUUAGAACUGUAUUGUGACUUCCCAUUCCAGUAUUCCUAUUUAUACUCUUUGAAACAUUGUUUCCAGUUGAGUAUGUAAGAGGCUUCUUCUGGUGUGACUGACUAGUCUUUCAUAAGAGAUUAUGGAUUCGUGCAUGGAACAUUGUAAUGCAACCUCUCAGAGAUGUCAUGUAUUCAGCCUGCAUGUCUUCACUUGCUGUAGUCUAAGAUACUUAAAUAUAUGUUGGACAUUGGAUUAUAGCUCUGUUGUGCUUUUUUUGUUCCAUUUUCUGUUGUGUUAUGGCAUGAGUAUGCAGAAGAAAUACUGAGAAUGUAAAACAUGGAAUGAUAUCCUAUUCUCACUGAAGUUGGAAGUGUAACUGUGAAUGUCACAGGAGUGGAACAACACGUCAUCAAGAGCAAGAUUGUUUAUUUGCAAUUCUGUACUUAGAGCUCUUACUUUUAAUAGUAACGUGCUACUUCUCUGCUUUGCCUGGUGAGCUCCCUGAAAUCAGGACAUUGCAGACAAAUCCUCAUUGAGUGGGAGAAAUAGACUUGAAAUGUCUACUACUUACAAGAUACACUGAUUUUUCACCACUAGGACCUACUAAUGUUGUCAGCUCAGUGAAUAUAUCAUGCAUUUGGUGAUUGAUGUUUCUCUGUCCAGUUCAACUCAGUAGAAAGUUCAACGUGUUUUCUUCAGUUCACUGAGUUACUCAUCAUAUGUACAGAGGAGUUUCUACCAUGGCCUUUAAUGGAAAAGCACUGGAAUUUCUACAGGGCAUGUGAAGAUUUUGGAUUCUGAAGUCUUCUAAAGUGCUAACACUUUUUUUUUCCAUCAUCAUUUAGUUCUAAAUGUACAAAUGUUUGCUUCUAAGUGCUUUGUUACUAUUGUUUUGAUAAAUCAUUUGCCCUGUACUUGUAAUGGGCUGAAAGAUUGUCUGGUUUAACUGCAGAGUACUUUGUAGCGGGUGAGGGUAACUGUCACGAUUGAAUUUUGUGCUUUAAUGUUCUGAAAUGGACAGGAGUUAUUAUACACUGGUCCACAAAUUGUAUUCUAUGUUACCAGCUUUGUAUGAAACUCCACUGAUUUCUGUGGCUUUUUAUCCAGAUAGAUAUCAAUAUUGAUGGCCACUUGUCACAUCUCAGUGUUGAACCAGUCUGCCCAAGCAUGUGCUGUCAGAAGUGGCUGCAAGAGUUUGUAUAAUAACAUAAGCUAUUAAGCAAAAUCCAAGAUGGGCAGCUUUGAAUGAUCACCAGCAACUUUGCUUUGUGAGGCUUGGUUAUAUACAAACAACUGAGAAUGGGAUCUAUGCUGGGAGAAGCUAUAAGAGAGCUCUUAGCCUUUGAAAAUGCUCAUAGAAAUUCAGUUGUUGAUUCAACCAAAUCCAUUUGACAGUCAAAAAAUGUGCCAGCACAAGACAGGAAGUACAGUGAUUCUGGUAAACAAGUUUUUCAGUCUAGUAACAUCCAGGAUUUUCAGCCUGAUUACUGGAGGAUUUCUGUUUGUUUUGAUUUCGCACAGUGUGAAUCUGCCUCAGUAGCAUGUCUAUAAUAUAUUUGACUGUUAGGAGAAUUAUCCACAUGCAAGUGGUGUUCUAGCUCUUUCAUUCCCUGAGUUGUAAGAAGACUUGAGAUAAUAAUACCUACUAUUCCUAACUCGAGUGAAUGGGGUGAGAAAUAUCUCCUGUCAAUACAUAACAUACUCAGCUUGCUAUUUGGAGUGUGAAGAGCUGUUCUGCAGGGAUUUGAUUAGUGUCUUAAACAGGAAGAGGUUUAGGGGGGAGAGAGGCUUCUGAUGGUCAGAGAGUUAAUGUGCCUGCGCAUGCAUGAGCAAUCAUUGCCUGUUAGGCUGUAAGGAUUAAAAGGAAAAGAAAAAAAAAAGAAAAAACAACAAAACAAAAAACAACCAAGUGCCUUGAAGCCAGAGAAAGUUAAAGGCUACUGAGUGAUGGGUAUUUAGUAAAGGUCAGUUUGCAAGCAGGAAGUAAACAGAACAUUCCCACAGCUGCUGCAGGAAAACAGACCUGAAGAAAUAUUGGUCUAAGGGAGCUGUUCAUUCAGAUACUGUUGCUUGGAGCACCCUUGGAGAAGAAAAGUAGUUUUUCAUCAAAAGUGAAAGAUUUUUGACUGUAAAAGUUACUGUUAAAGCCACUUAUGUGUGAUGUCUUUUUUGUGUUACAAAUUGUUUAAUAAAAUUAUAAUGAAAAACUGG